UCUUCAAGUCGCAGGGCUUCUUAUUUAAAAAUUUUCCCCUGGGCAAUAAGCUUAUUCACAAGCCUCUAUGCAAUUCCGUACUGCAUUUCUGUCAUAUUUGGCGGAAAAUGUUUCAGCAGAAUAGCUUUCAGACACAAUUUGUUAUUACAGCACAAGAAUUUUUGGAGAUUUGAUAAGUCAAAAAUGUAUGCGUAAGUCUUUUGAACGAAUUUUAACCAAAAAUCAAAAGCAAUGAUUAAGUGAAAUUACACAACAAGAAGGCUAGAGGCGUUUAAAGUGUACAUAUAUUUAAUCAAGAUCUAACUUUAUAGAUAGAGCCUUAGCCAAAUGUGAAAAUAACGAAAAUAAUAAGUUCUAACACUGCAGUUUUUAUAGAUUUCAAACGUCCACCAUUUUCCAUUUUAAUUUUAAAUCCCGUUCUAAAUUUGAAUGUUUGAAAUCGUUAUUAGUAAUUCGGGGCGCAUUAGUGGUAACUAUGGCUAGUUUUAUGUGUAUGGGAGAAGUUUUUUUCUUACUCUCAACUUCGCGGGGGAACUUCGGCUCGAACAUCCAACCUAGGUUUGAUAUAACACAACCUGUGUGUUUGGUACCAUCAAGACAAAAAUAACACUGAUCGAGCAAAACUUAUCUUGUCUCGGUUUCUUUGUUGUCUCUGAAGAUUUGACUGCCAUAAAAAAUAUUAAUCGAGAUUCUUUUGUUAUGUUAAUUUAAAGCUUUGUAAUAUUGUCUCGUUUAAUAUGCUUAAAUGUCACUGCAGCCCACGUGAAUUUAUCUUCAAGAAAAAGUUUGUUUUUCUUUGUCCAAGUUGUUUCGAAACUUGUUAACAAUCAUUUGUUAUCAAACCAUGCACCAUCAGCAUUUUCGAAAAAUCUUCAACGAGAGAAAUUUUUUAAGGAUUUUAUUGGUAACUUAACGGAGUAAUAAUUCAUUGAAAUUUUUCAGAAGUUAUUAUAUAUAUUCGAAUCGUGAAGUUCAUACAUAGCAAUCCUGCAUCCUGGAAUUUUCGAGAUCAGUUAUAAAAAAAUCCAGUUAAAGUUUAACUAUUGUUUUAGAAUAUAUACUAUAUAUAUGUAAAAAAAAUUAUUUUUUAUUUAUCAAGUUGUAUUUUACGUUAAUUACAAUAAUAAUUGAGAAUUAGGAUA
Long non-coding RNA from Hydractinia symbiolongicarpus, 1142 nucleotides. RefSeq lists it as uncharacterized. The record is from RefSeq and is a predicted model, not a curated record. Lineage: Eukaryota; Metazoa; Cnidaria; Hydrozoa; Anthoathecata; Hydractiniidae. The transcript has 2 exons.